AACACAUGCGAGUCGAGGGCGAGCACGGUGUAGCAAUACACUGGUGGCGACCGGCGUACGGGUGCGUAACACGUAUGCAACCUACCCGCUAUUGGGGGAUAACCCGGCGAAAGUACGGACUAAUACCCCAUAUUAUUCUUACCGGGCAUCCGGUAGGUCUGAAAGAUUUAUCGAUUGCGGGUGGGCAUGCGGAUGAUUAGCUAGUAGGUGGGGUAACGGCUCACCUAGGCGACGAUCAUUAGGGGUUCUGAGAGGAAGGUCCCCCACACUGGAACUGAGACACGGUCCAGACUCCUACGGGAGGCAGCAGUGAGGAAUAUUGGUCAAUGGGCGCUAGCCUGAACCAGCCAAGUCGCGUGAAGGAUGAACCAGAUCUAUGGUUUGUAAACUUCUUUUGCAGGGGAGUAAAGUGCGACACGUGUGUUGUAUUGCAAGUACCCUGCGAAUAAGCAUCGGCUAACUCCGUGCCAGCCGCCGC
This 478-nucleotide ribosomal RNA is filed under the name uncultured bacterium. Its description in RNAcentral is "bacterial SSU rRNA". It matches the Rfam family "Bacterial small subunit ribosomal RNA", at positions 50 to 518 of the family's 1533-position model. The record is from RNAcentral.